Molecule: long non-coding RNA, 451 nt
Organism: Theobroma cacao (cacao)
Lineage: Eukaryota; Viridiplantae; Streptophyta; Magnoliopsida; Malvales; Malvaceae
Source: RefSeq, a predicted model, not a curated record
CAAAAAGUUCAGUACAAAAAACAGCUCCGUGCACAGUUCUUACAGAUGAUGCCAGUUACCAACCACUGGAGAAGCUGACCACAAGGUUUUACAGUGUGGGGGGAUGCUAUUGCUGUUCAGUGAUCAGUCACUAUAGCCUACAAUGGAAGAAGGUUUAGCAGUUCAUUGCAGCAGUCACCCAACAUGGAUUCUAAGUCUGGUUGUUGAGGUCAGAACAGCUACAUGGCUGCAGGUCUGUUGCUAUGCCUCAGACAUGCAUUCCUGUUGUUCUCUACGGUACACUAUGUCCCUGGUAGAGAAGCCAUAACCAUGCCUCUGUCAUCUGCAUUAUAUAUAUGCAUCAUUAGUGAUCUGUUUCAAUUCAUCAGUACUUCCAUUAAACUGGGAUUUCAAGCUUGCUUAGAGACUUAGAUACUUUCUCAAUAUAUUUCAGAAGUUCAAUGGGCCUCAA